RNAcentral lists this transfer RNA (66 nucleotides) under Daphnia pulex (common water flea). RNAcentral's name for it is "tRNA-Trp". The record is from RNAcentral. Lineage: Eukaryota; Metazoa; Arthropoda; Branchiopoda; Diplostraca; Daphniidae.
GAAGUUUUAAGUUAAUUAAACUAAAAGCCUUCAAAGCUUUAAUUAAGAUUGUAUUCUUAAACUUCU